CAUCUACCUGUAUCUUAAGGUCGGGGGCGGGUAUGGGGGCGGGAACCUGAAGUCCAGAGAAGGGAAGAGACCUGCACCCGGAAUAUGAUCCAGGUGUCCCUGACUCUGUCCCUUGCUCUUUCAUACACAGGACAGCCAAAAACAAACAAACAAACAAACAGAAAAGGUCCAGACUCUGGUGAAAAACAUGUUUCAGGCCCCUCAGCAAGAGUGGACAAGACAAACAUCUUUACAAGCCCCUCCCUAAAAGGUGCCUUGAACUGUCCAGAAGAGACAAACCGAAGCCCGGCACUGGAAGGGAGGAAAAGAGAGAUGACCCUCUCCCCGCAACAAGGUAUGUUGCUGGCUGUAGCUGGCUGAGGGAGGGCUCCGGGUGUGAGGACACUUGCAGGGGAGUGUGGAGCUUCAUAAGUGCCCCGGACCUCUGUCCCUUGAUGGAAGAGGCAUCCGCACUCUUCCUGCUUGAGCCAAGGAACCCUGCCC
This 483-nucleotide long non-coding RNA is filed under the name Cercocebus atys (sooty mangabey). RNAcentral describes it as "lncRNA (ENSCATG00000045469.1)". Lineage: Eukaryota; Metazoa; Chordata; Mammalia; Primates; Cercopithecidae. The record is from RNAcentral.